Molecule: ribosomal RNA, 181 nt
Filed under: uncultured Bacillota bacterium
Lineage: Bacteria; Bacillati; Bacillota
Description: uncultured Firmicutes bacterium partial 16S ribosomal RNA
Rfam family: Bacterial small subunit ribosomal RNA
Source: RNAcentral
GACGAACGCUGGCGGCGUGCUUAACACAUGCAAGUCGAGCGAUGAAGUUCCUUCGGGAACGGAUUAGCGGCGGACGGGUGAGUAACACGUGGGUAACCUGCCUCAUAGAGGGGAAUAGCCUUUCGAAAGGAAGAUUAAUACCGCAUAAGAUUGUAGCUUCGCAUGAAGUAGCAAUUAAAGG